Molecule: ribosomal RNA, 256 nt
Filed under: uncultured bacterium
Lineage: Bacteria
Description: partial 16S ribosomal RNA
Rfam family: Bacterial small subunit ribosomal RNA
Source: RNAcentral
UACGUAGGGUGCGAGCGUUUGUCCGGAAUUACUGGGCGUAAAGAGCUCGUAGGUGGUUUGUCGCGUUGUCCGUGAAAACUCACAACUCAAUUGUGGGCGUGCGGGCGAUACGGGCAGACUGGAGUACUGCAGGGGGAGACUGGAAUUCCUGGUGUAGCGGUGGAAUGCGCAGAUAUCAGGAGGAACACCGAUGGCGAAGGCAGGUCUCUGGGCAUUAACUGACGCUGAGGAGCGAAAGCAUGGGGGAGCGAACAGG